GGAGAUCUCUGCCCCUAGGAGCUGAGGGACCCCCAGCAUUGCUGCAAGCUGAAGCUGCAGGAUCCUGCUACAACCAGCCAGAUGUCUUCCCACAAAGGAUCCGUGACGGUGCAGGGCAACGGGGCGCCUGCCGUUAACAGGGAAGCCGAUUCAGUGGAACUGACCAAACUGGGACCCCUGCUGGAGAAGGGCAAGUGGGCGAUCACCAGUCCCACAAAAGCUGAAGAGGAGCAAACAUGCCCUAUGCCCCAGGAAGAGGAAGAGGAGGUGCGGCUGCUCACGCUCCCCCUGCAGGCCCACCACGCCAUGGAGAAGAUGGAAGUGUUUGUGCACAAGGUCUGGGAGGGACGUUGGAGGGUCAUCCCCUAGGAUGUGCUGCCUGACUGGCUCAAGGACAAUGACUACUUGCUUUACGGCCACAGACCACUCAUGCCCUUUCGGGCCUCCUUCAAGAGCAUCUUCCGCAUCCAUAUGGAAACUGGCAAUAUCUGGACCCAUCUGCUUGGUUUUGUGCUGUUUCUCUUUUUGAGAAUCUUGACCAUGCUCAGACCAAAUAUGUACUUCACGGCCCCUCUCCAGGAGAAGGUGUUGUUUGGAAUGUUCUUUUUGGGUGCAGUGCUGUGCCUCAGUUUCUCCUGACUCUUCCACACCGUCUACUGUCAUUCAGAGAAAGUCUCUCGGACUUUUUCAAAACUGGACUAUUCAGGGAUUCCUCUACUGAUUAUGGGGAGCUUUGUCCCCUGGCUCUAUUACUCCUUCUACUGCUCCCCACAGCCACGGCUCAUCUACCUCUCCAUCAUCUGUGUUCCGGGCAUUUCUGCCAUCAUCGUGGCACAGUGGGGCCAUUUUGCCACCCCUAAGCACCAGCAGACAAGAGCAGGUAUAUUCCUGGGACUUGGCUUAAGUGUCGUGCCCACCAUGCACUUUACUAUCGCUGAGGGCUUCAUCAAGGCUACCACGGUGGGCCAGAUGGGCUGGUUCUUCCUCAUGGCUGUCAUGUACAUCACUGGAGCUGGCCUUCGUGCUGUUCGCAUUCCUGAGCGUUUCUUUCCUGGAAAAUUUGACAUUUGGUUCCAGUCUCACCAGAUUUUCCAAGUCCUAGUGUUGGCAGCAGCCGUCGUUCACUUUUACGGGGUCUCCACCCUUCAGGAAUUCCAUUCCGGCCUCGAAGGUGGCUGUACUGACGACUCCCUUCUCUGAGCCUUCCCACCUGAGGGUGGAGGAGGAACUUCCCAAGUGCUUUUAAAAAUAACUUCUUUGCAGAAGUGAGAGCAAGAAUCUGAGUUGUCUGUUUCUAGAAGAAACCUCUUAGAGAAUUCAGUAUCAACCAACCUUCAGCUCACCUUCACACCUACUGGACAUAAACUUCCACUUCCUUCCUGCCCGCUG
Ochotona princeps (American pika) is the source of this 1389-nucleotide RNA transcript. It is a transcript of the gene named adiponectin receptor protein 1-like, with no coding region annotated. The record is from RefSeq and is a predicted model, not a curated record. NCBI's taxonomy places the organism in Eukaryota, Metazoa, Chordata, Mammalia, Lagomorpha, Ochotonidae. The transcript has a single exon.